GGCCACAGAGGGAAUCUCGCCGGCCGGCACACAUCUCCCUAAUGCCCAUCCACCCGUCUCCAUCCCAAUAAUGCAUCCUUCGUCUCUGUCUCAGUAGUGCUAGCAGCUCCGUCCCUGACAUCUCUCCCAGGUCCCAGCCGGCUCUGCGCCACGGCAUUCCCGUCCGGCCGCCGCCAACGCGCGCCUCCGGCGAUUGUGUGCCGGUUCACACACGCAGACGCAGACAUGGCUGGUGGGGUUGAAUCUCAGUGGUCCAUACGUGUGUUUGAAAGAUUUGAGCGUUCUGUGGUGCGACUGAACCAUGGAGGUCUUUUUCUUGGCACCGGCUUCGUUGUUUACUGGGACGAGUCCGGGGCGUGCCUCAUAAUAACAUGCCAUCAUGUUGUUUCGCGUGUACGGAUGAAUGAAAUCGUGGAUGCUUACUUCUCUGGGAACACUAUACCAUCUGCUGUGCGCAUAGUUCGUCGUGGCAACGACAUCAAAGACCUUGCUUUGCUUCGGGUCCAACGCAUGUCUAGCCAAGUCACCAGACCUCCCGUUGUUAUGGACUUCUUCCAGCAUCCAGUGGCACCGGGAUGGGACGUUGUUCUGCUUGGCUAUAACGUUUUGCGUAAUAAUUUUAUCCUGGAGCCCUCAACCUGGUCUGGCCGAAUCAUUUCCCCGUCAACCAAUACACAUAUCAAAUAUAGUUGCACAAGCACUGGAGGCAUGUCUGGGUCACCUAUUGUCCUGGCAGGAGUAAACAAAGUCGUUGGGGUGCAUUUCAUGAGCAGUGGAUCGACUGGGUAUGCGAUUUGCACCGAAGCUAUAAGAGAAUACUUAGAAGAAUAUUUACAAAUGGACAACCUAUCGAUCGAUGAGCUGCUUGUCAUAGCUGCUGAAGCAACAUGAAGCAGUGCAAGAGGGUUCGAAUCAAUGAGAAGUUAGCUAGAGAGCAGCUGGAACACUGGAUGUUAGCUUGGGGAUGCAAUAUGAAAGGGGGUUUUGUUUGCAGAGAGCAGCUGGAACACUGGAUGCGAACUUGGGGAUGCAAGAUGAAGGUGAUCGGAGAUGAUCGUGGGUGCAAUUUGCACACAGCGUAGUUCUAGACUUCCUAGCUAGUUGUAGUAGUAUGCUUUAUUGUUGAAGACUCUGAAAUGCUUAGUUCCUGAUAGUUCGUUGGCGUGUGUGCAUACAUUUCAGAUGUUGCUGCAGUUUGGACUUUGGAUUAUGUAUGUGGCUAUGUUUCCUUACCAUGUUAGAGCAAACAUGGUUGAAGUUGAACUGCUGUUGACUCGUUUA
Triticum aestivum (bread wheat) is the source of this 1281-nucleotide RNA transcript. RefSeq lists it as uncharacterized. The transcript has 5 exons. Lineage: Eukaryota; Viridiplantae; Streptophyta; Magnoliopsida; Poales; Poaceae. The record is from RefSeq and is a predicted model, not a curated record.